RNAcentral lists this transfer RNA (80 nucleotides) under Cytophaga hutchinsonii ATCC 33406. RNAcentral's name for it is "tRNA-Ala". It matches the Rfam family "tRNA". From Rfam's summary of the family: Transfer RNA (tRNA) molecules are approximately 80 nucleotides in length. Their secondary structure includes four short double-helical elements and three loops (D, anti-codon, and T loops). The record is from RNAcentral. Lineage: Bacteria; Pseudomonadati; Bacteroidota; Cytophagia; Cytophagales; Cytophagaceae.
GGGGGAUUAGCUCAGCUGGCUAGAGCGCUUGGCUGGCAGUCAAGAGGUCAUCGGUUCGAACCCGAUAUUCUCCACAAGAG